Molecule: non-coding RNA, 85 nt
Organism: Acanthosepion pharaonis
Lineage: Eukaryota; Metazoa; Mollusca; Cephalopoda; Sepiida; Sepiidae
Source: the annotation of a GenBank genome assembly
CAGUUCCCGUACGAUCAUCGAAGUUAAGCAACGUUGUGCAUCGUCAGUAGAUGGGUGACCACUUGAGAAUAUCAGGUGCUGUAAG